UUUUAUCCAUCUAUUUCACCAAAAUCGUUUUUACAAUCUGUGCUAGUUAAGUUUCUGUUUUGUGUUAAAUUUUCGUCCAAAACAAGUCCCCCUUUAUUUUGAAGUCUUAGAUUAGUUAGAAUAUGUUUUGAUUUGUGUUUCUAAGUGUUUUGAUUCAAGUCUUCACCCAAUUUCGUCCAAGUUCUUGUUAGGUUCUCAAAACUGCCCAGAAAGUGGUUUUAGGCAGUUUUGAGUCAUUAGGUUGCUGUUUUGAGUUUUGUGUUUGUUCAAGUGUUUUAAACUUUAGUUUUGCAUUCUUUGAGUCUAGUUUAGUGUUUUAAACUUUGUUUUUAUGUUUUUAAGUCAGUUUUCAAGUGUUUAGCAAUCCCUCCUAAUCCCCGGUCUAGAACGAUCCCUACUUACAUACUUUACUACAUUUGUCAAAAGAGGGUUUAAUUUGUGUGUUAGUUUAAUUUUCACACCAGGAAGCUCGGAAGUUCAUGCAAUUCAAGUUCGCGUCGCUGGAAUUUCUAGGUGUUUCUUUUCCUUUGAUUUCAAUGUUUAAAUUCAAUUCUCUUUGUUUUGUGCGUAUGAGGAACUAAACCCCCCUUGGCUAGGGGGGGAUUCGAAAUACAUGUUUAUGCUUGUGUUAUGAUUUGAUUACUUCUAAUUGCGUUUCAUAAGUUGUGAAUUCAAUUUACUUAUCUAUGAGAAUUACAUUGAUUUGUGUGUGUUGGUUGAGAGUGCACGCUUAAUUAUCAUGCAUAAAUUGAAUGAUAGUAUAUAAGGAAAUUUCACCUAAUCGUUAUCGAAUUAUAUUCACAAGUAGUAAAGGUUGAUGAUCUCAAUCGCGUUAAGUAAAUUCUUGGCAU
This 851-nucleotide long non-coding RNA is filed under the name Malus domestica (apple). Its description in RNAcentral is "long non-coding RNA (MDOM_LNC019963)". The record is from RNAcentral. Lineage: Eukaryota; Viridiplantae; Streptophyta; Magnoliopsida; Rosales; Rosaceae.